UUCCUACGGGGGGCAGCAGUGGGGAAUAUUGCACAAUGGGGGAAACCCUGAUGCAGCGACGCCGCGUGAGUGAAGAAGUAUUUCGGCAUGUAAAGCUCUAUCAGCAGGGAAGAAGAAAGACGGUACCUGACUAAGAAGCCCCGGCUAACUACGUGCCAGCAGCCGCGGUAAUACGUAGGGGGCAAGCGUUAUCCGGAUUUACUGGGUGUAAAGGGAGCGUAGACGGCUGUGCAAGUCUGAAGUGAAAGCGCAGGGCUCAACCCUGGGACUGCUUGGGAAACUGUGGAGCUA
This 291-nucleotide ribosomal RNA is filed under the name uncultured bacterium. RNAcentral describes it as "partial 16S ribosomal RNA". It matches the Rfam family "Bacterial small subunit ribosomal RNA", at positions 336 to 643 of the family's 1533-position model. The record is from RNAcentral.